Molecule: non-coding RNA, 30 nt
Filed under: Homo sapiens (human)
Lineage: Eukaryota; Metazoa; Chordata; Mammalia; Primates; Hominidae
Source: RNAcentral
UUCAGUCUGAGAUUGGUAUGGUGUUUGAUA